UUUUACUUCAUCUCUGCAUCAGAAGAAGCAGUGAGUGGCCUUUCAUAAACUGAAUUAGGCUUCACUGGGUGUAGACCAGACUGGACAGCAGCAGCAGCAGCUGAAACCAUCUUCACUGGUGGAGGGAGGAGCUCCUACAGGGACACGGGCUUUGCUUCCAUUUUUCUAGCUGUGCGGAGCAGCAGGUACUAACGGCAUGCUGACUAACCGUGGCUGCGUUUGCUUUUUCACCGGGCACCACACAAGAGCUUGGGCAUUGGUGUUGUCUGCUUGUUCCAGCCACUGCUUGUGUGAGCUUGUUUUGUUUGGGGGUUUUAUUUUUUAUUUUUCUGUGCCUUGUAAUAGAAAACACCCCUUUGCAUUCGAUUUCUUGCAUCCCUAAAAGCUUUUAAGAUCCGUUCAGAAACAAUUGAUUUUUUUUGAUGCCAAAAUUAUUGAUUGUAAAAUUUUUUUGCAUCAAUUUUUUUUUCAUACUAAAGUAAGUCCUGUGGAGAGUCAGGGAAUAAAAAGUCAAGAAAGAGAAUCCUAAAGCUUACAAAAGAAAAGCAUUGCCUCUGAACCUUUUUCCUCCCACUGCUCCCAAGCCUCCAGUAGCUGGUUACUGCUGCUCUUUUCUUUCCGUGUCUAUACCUUUCUCCACAGUAGUCCCUGGCUCUGCACGGAAUAAACGAUACUCUCAAAUCUAACUGGACGUGCUUUCGCCUUUGCAUGUAAGUACAGGAGUAAGAACUCAGAUCUUUCUGUUUCAGAUUAGGGAAAACAAAUGGGGCAGAUGAGGUUUUCUUUUGGACGGUGUCCUUGACAGUCUGAGUAGUCAUUCUUUUUCCUUUUUUAUACUAAACACAUCUAUACCGGCCACAUUUAUAUUUUGCCCCACAGUUUAGGCUUUCUCUUGGUUCCAGAGGAAGUAGGGAAUUGAUUACUGAUUCCAGCCAUUGUUGAAUAUAGCAUCCUAGAAGUCAAGUAGAGGGCAUAAAGCUGGGGAAAGAUUCCCACCACCCGCAGGACAAAGAUCCAGGAAAAGAUGUCUCUGCCAGGCAGACUUUCUGCUCCGACAUUCUGGAUCUCAGUCUAUUGGCUUCUCCUUUAUGCUGGAUGCACAAUGGCCACUUCUUUUUACUCUUUGGCCUCUGCAUCUUUUGCCCAUGGACUGUGGUCCCCUGUAAUUGUCAUCCGCGCUGUGGGGUAUGACCGCAUGGUCUGGGCUCUGUGUGAAUCAGUCCAAAGGGCUCCCUCUCAGCCAGGGACAGUCUUCCACCUGGUGUUGGGUGUGGGUUUCUUGUUUUCCUCCUCUUUUAUUUUGCAACUCACCAGCAACAGCUCUCGCUUCCUCUCCAUCCUGUCCUCUCACUUUUCUGACACCCCUAAGUGUUCUGCAGAGUUGGUAUUCGGGCGUCCCCUACCCACAUAGUACUGUCUCUGUGUGGUCCUACCAGAACUGUCCAUCUGAAUCCCUCUCCUUUGCCAUUCACAAGUGUCUGGAGUUGUCCGGUUCCAAAAAGUCCUAGUUCUAUUGACAGAACAUUUAUUAUGGAGUCGUUAGCUGAAUCAUGACCUUCAGAGUCUAGUUUGUACGUAGGUAUGAAGGGAAUUUUUAAAAAUAAAUUGAAAAUUAAGCUGUGAACAGCAUUAGAACUUUUGUCUAUUUCUUGAUUUUAAAAUAUGCUGAUAAUGCCUUAAACUGUAGUUGUAGAAUUGUCAUUUUUUUUUUGCUGUUUGAAGAUAACCAAUGUUUUCUAAACUGUUGUGUAAUCUUUCAGUGUUAAUGCAGAUUGUCAUGUAUGUAAGCUGCAUGUUAGACACGUGUCUUUUUUUUAUGAACUAAAAUAAUUGUAUUGAUGUGAAGCAUACUGUUCCGACAAGUAUGGAAGUGCGGGCUCAGCAUCCUGCCGAGCAACUUGGUGUCUGUUAAUGUAGUGUGGUGCCAGGGACCUAUGCAUAUAUCACUAGUGCCAAGACUUAAAGCGGGGAAAUAUAUUUUUACCCAACCGUUGUUCUGUGUGCGCGUUUGUGAGUUCUUUCCAGUCCCUGCCUGACAUGCCUAUGUACAUACACGUGCUUGUUACGUCACAUAAAGAAAUGGGGAUGACUGCUGUCUCCUGCUUUCUUACCUCGUGUGGUGGACUUCAGUGUUGCUGGUUGGCCCAGCUUCUCCAAGUCACUUGCCCUGUGG
Molecule: long non-coding RNA, 2173 nt
Filed under: Rattus norvegicus (Norway rat)
Lineage: Eukaryota; Metazoa; Chordata; Mammalia; Rodentia; Muridae
Description: long non-coding RNA NONRATT009775
Source: RNAcentral